CAGUAGUCAUACGCUUUUUUUCAAGACUAAGCCAUGCAAGUGCAAGUUCAUGCUGAACAAAAAAACGGUUGAUGGCUCAUUAAAACAGAUAUAAUCCCCCAUGGUUGUUGAUCUUACUUGGAUACCUGUAGUAAUUCUAGAGCUAACACAUGACUUACGGCCACUUUUGUGGCUGUGCAUAUUAGUGUAAAACCAACCCCUCGUGGUCUUUAUGGUGAUUCAGAGUAUGUAGGCAUAUUGUUUGCAAAAGCAAAGAACCAUUGGUGUUUCUGCCCCAUCAGCUUUGGAUGGUAGGAUAUUUGCCUACUAUGGCUUCCACGGGUAACGGAGAAUCAGGGUUUGAUUCCGGAGAGGGAGCCUGAGAGAUGGCUACCACAUCCAAGGAAGGCAGCAGGCGCGAAAAUUACCCAAUCUUACAACAAGGAGGUAGUAAAGAGACGUAACAAUGACCAAUCCUUAGUGUUUGGUCAGUUGGAAUGAAGUGUAGGUAAAUAUACCAUUGAGAAUCAAUUGGAGGGCAAGUCUGGUGCCAGCAGCCGCGGUAAUUCCAGCUCCAAUAGCGAAUACUAAUGUUGUUGCAGUUAAAAAGCUCAUAGUUGAAACUUGUACUCUGUGUGCUGCCCCUUUUGGGGUUUGUUACUCAGGGUUGCUUCUCUGGUUGGCAUCGUGAUGCAUUUAUUUGCAGAGCGUUGUUUGACCUUCUGUUACUGUGAAAAAAUUAGAGUGUCCAAAGCAGGUAUAUUUCGCUGAAUGUAUUAGCAUGGAAUAACAGAUGUAAUACAUGUGUGCUUUUGUUGGUUAUGCAUUUUUGUAUUGAGAAAGACAGGGAGAGUUUGGGGUACUUGUAAUUUGAAGUCAGAGGUGAAAUUCUUGAAUCUUUGAAAGACAAACAUAUGCAAAGGCAUUUACCAAGGAUGUUCCCGUUAAUCAAGAACAAUAGUUAGGGGAUCAAAGAUGAUUAGAUACCGUCGUAGUCCUAACCAUAAACAAUGCCAACUGAGGAUCAGCAGAGUCUUCACAUAGUUUCUGCUGGCACUCUAGAAGAAAUUUUUAGUUUUUGGGUUCUGGGGGGAGUAUGGUCGCAAGGCUGAAACUUAAAGAAAUUGACGGAAGGGCACCACCAGGAGUGGAGCUUGCGGCUUAAUUUGACUCAACACGGGAAAACUUACCAGGUCCAGACAUGAGUAGGAUUGACAGGUUGAUAGCCCUUUCUUGAUGUUAUGGUUGGUGGUGCAUGGCCGUUCUUAGUUGGUGGAGUGAUUUGUCUGGUUUAUUCCGUUAACGAACGAGACCCGUGCCUGCUAAAUAGUCGAUGUUGCGCUCGUCGCAGCACUUGGCUUCUUAGAGGGACUUGCAUCUAUUCAGUUGAGGGAAGAAAGGGGCAAUAACAGGUCUGUGAUGCCCUUUGAUGUUCUGGGCCGCACGCGCGCUACACUGAUGCAUUCAACAGGUUGCUUGGUUGGAAAGCCAGGCGAAUCCUUCAAUAUGCUUCGUGAUAGGGAUAAAUCUUUGCAAUCACCGAUUUUGAACGAGGAAUUCCUGGUAAGUGCAAAUCAUCAUUUUGCACUGAUUACGUCCCUGCCCUUUGUACACACCGCCCGUCGCACC
This 1608-nucleotide ribosomal RNA is filed under the name Petrodictyon sp. RNAcentral's name for it is "SSU rRNA". It matches the Rfam family "Eukaryotic small subunit ribosomal RNA". Lineage: Eukaryota; Bacillariophyta; Bacillariophyceae; Surirellales; Surirellaceae. The record is from RNAcentral.